GAUGAACGCUAGCGGGAGGCUUAAUACAUGCAAGUCGAACGGUAAGGUCACUGCUUGCAGUGAUACACGAGUGGCGCACGGGUGAGUAACGCGUACAUAACAUACCUAUCAGAGGGGGAUACGCUUUGGAAACGAAGUAUAAUACCCCAUAGUUUUCACGGAUCGCAUGGUUUGUGGAAUAAAGCUCCGGUGCUGAUAGAUUGGUGUGCGUACUAUUAGGUAGUUGGUGAGGUAGAAGCUCACCAAGCCGACGAUAGUUAGGGGGCGUGAGAGCGUGAACCCCCACACGGGUACUGAGACACGGACCCGACUCCUACGGGAGGCAGCAGUAAGGAAUAUUGGACAAUGGGCGCAAGCCUGAUCCAGCCAUCCCGCGUGCAGGAAGACAGCCCUAUGGGUCGUAAACUGCUUUUAGAUAGGACGAAACGCCUUCAUUUAUGGGGGUCUGACGGUACUAUCAGAAUAAGGACCGGCUAACUCCG
RNAcentral lists this ribosomal RNA (482 nucleotides) under uncultured Saprospiraceae bacterium. Its description in RNAcentral is "bacterial SSU rRNA". It matches the Rfam family "Bacterial small subunit ribosomal RNA", at positions 28 to 505 of the family's 1533-position model. Lineage: Bacteria; Pseudomonadati; Bacteroidota; Saprospiria; Saprospirales; Saprospiraceae. The record is from RNAcentral.